RNAcentral lists this ribosomal RNA (232 nucleotides) under uncultured bacterium. Its description in RNAcentral is "partial 16S ribosomal RNA". It matches the Rfam family "Bacterial small subunit ribosomal RNA", at positions 99 to 334 of the family's 1533-position model. The record is from RNAcentral.
CGGACGGGUGAGUAAUGUAUGGGGAUCUGCCUGAUGGCGGGGGAUAACUACUGGAAACGGUAGCUAAUACCGCAUAAUGUCUACGGACCAAAGCGGGGGACCUCCGGGCCUCGCGCCAUCAGAUGAACCCAUAUGGGAUUAGCUAGUAGGUAAGGUAACGGCUUACCUAGGCGACGAUCCCUAGCUGGUCUGAGAGGAUGAUCAGCCACACUGGGACUGAGACACGGUCCAG